This 464-nucleotide ribosomal RNA is filed under the name uncultured bacterium. RNAcentral's name for it is "partial 16S ribosomal RNA". It matches the Rfam family "Bacterial small subunit ribosomal RNA", at positions 29 to 507 of the family's 1533-position model. The record is from RNAcentral.
ACGAACGCUGGCGGCGUGCUUAACACAUGCAAGUCGCACGGAAAGGCCCUGCUUGCAGGGUACUCGAGUGGCGAACGGGUGAGUAACACGUGGGUGAUCUGCCCUGCACUUCGGGAUAAGCCUGGGAAACUGGGUCUAAUACCGGAUAGGAGCCAUUUUUAGUGUGAUGGUUGGAAAGUUUUUUCGGUGUAUGAUGAGCUCGCGGCCUAUCAGCUUGUUGGUGGGGUAAUGGCCUACCAAGGCGGCGACGGGUAGCCGGCCUGAGAGGGUGGACGGCCACAUUGGGACUGAGAUACGGCCCAGACUCCUACGGGAGGCAGCAGUGGGGAAUAUUGCACAAUGGGCGCAAGCCUGAUGCAGCGACGCCGCGUGGGGGAUGACGGCCUUCGGGUUGUAAACUCCUUUCGCUAGGGACGAAGCUUUUUGUGACGGUACCUAGAUAAGAAGCACCGGCUAACUACGUG